CUAAGCCGGUUCCCCACCGCUUCCCCUAUUCCGCACCUCUCCCACCUACACAGCCGCCGGCCUUCCUCCCUAACCCAGUUGGUAGCAUCAUCAAUCGUGAUUCGGUAGGGUCGGCCUACUUCCAGUAGGCAUCCUGGUCGAUCGGAAGUCGAACAUUGGCACCGUUCCAGACCUCAGAAGUACAAGCGGUGGAAACCUGGGGGAGGACUUGGGAAAUGGCAUAGGCAUCGGAGGUGUCUGCGAGGACAUGAGACAUGAGGAUGGGAUCGGCGACCAAAACCGGAGGUAGAAGGAGGUCUGCUCAGAGGUCAGAGGGGUAAAGAAGGAGACACGAGGCGGAGGAGAGCAAGAGGCCGGUCGAUGCCGAGAUAGGCAAGGAGUAAGGGAUGUGCAUGGAGCUGAACAACAAUGUCGUGAUGCUCAAGUAUAGCCACGCAAUGUGCUAAUGCUUUCUGGGAGCCCAUGAAAUGCUUUGAUUCAGCGAGAAUAGAAAGCAAAUGGUGGCCACUAUCGAUCAGUUGAUUCACCGUCUGCCAGUCUGCAUCCUACUGUAGUGUACGACAUGGGAGAUCAAAUUUCAAUGCAGAAACCACGGUCACCCGGUGAUUUUUUUGCAGCACCGGUUACAGGCUCUGGACAUUAUUUGAAUGUGGUAUAUCACUUCUCCAGAGUAUUGUAUUGCUCGAAUCAGUGAAUCUUGGAAAUUCAGUGAUUAGUGUAUUGCAACCACUUCUGGCCUUUGUAAGAUUA
This is a long non-coding RNA of Lolium perenne, 750 nucleotides long. RefSeq lists it as uncharacterized. Lineage: Eukaryota; Viridiplantae; Streptophyta; Magnoliopsida; Poales; Poaceae. The record is from RefSeq and is a predicted model, not a curated record.